Molecule: ribosomal RNA, 419 nt
Filed under: uncultured bacterium
Lineage: Bacteria
Description: partial 16S ribosomal RNA
Rfam family: Bacterial small subunit ribosomal RNA
Source: RNAcentral
AUUUUCGGCAAUGGGGGCAACCCUGACCGAGCGACGCCGCGUGAGUGAAGAAGGUCUUCGGAUUGUAAAGCUCUGUUGUAAGGGAAGAACUGUACCAGUAGGGAAUGACUGGUACCUGACGGUACCUUACCAUCAAGCCACGGUUAACUACGUGCCUGCAGCGGCGGUAAUACGUAGGUGGCAAGCGUUAUCCGGAAUUAUUGGGCGUAAAGGGAGCGCGGGCGGCUUAUUAGGUCUGAGGUUAAAGUUCGGGGAUCAACCCCGUGAUGCCUAGAAACUGCUAGGCUAGAGUGCAGGAGAGGUGAGUGGAAUUCCAUGUGUAGCGGUAAAAUGCGUAGAUAUAUGGAGGAACACCAGUGGCGAAGGCGGCUCACUGGCCUGUAACUGACGCUGAGGCUCGAAAGCGUGGGGAGCAAAUA